GUCGAUGUCGUCUCAAUCCUCGACCAACGCGACAUUCACCGGAUAAAACCCGGUGGAUGCGGGGAUCUUCGCGUCUAUCGAGUAGGAUCCGAUGCGAAUGGCCAUGGAUUAGGGUUUACAGAACGCCGAGGGUUUUGUUGUCACGGUACUGGUGCCCUGGCGGGUGGGCAUCGGAAGGAUAUGAAUUUUGGCUAUCGGAGAAGAUUUAGAUCCAAUUUGAUCGGUGCGAGGGCUUAUGAUUUGGUUGCUUAUUAUGUUGUUUUAAUCGGAUUUUGUUAUGGGUGUGAUAUAUCCACGACAAAACAGAGCUGUUUGUUCAGGGCCUCUUUCGACUGUAGGACUUUUGAGAAGGGUUCCAGUCCUUAAGAUUUUUUUUCCUGACAAUGCCCUUUGGAUCGUAGAAUUGGAUUGGGUUAUCUGUUAUGUGCGCUUGUAGAAAUACAUCUGGCUAAUAUUUGUUACCAAAUUAAUCUUUAACAACUUUCCUACUGGUUGUGUCACAUUCAUAUGUGGUGUGGGUGGGUUCUUAUAAUUUGGUGUCUCAAGGAAAGCUGGAAAAGUAGAUAAUUGAGUUGAUCGUGACACAGCUUGCUCAAAAUGACGAUGCAUUAAACGCUGCUGGGCAUUGUCGAAUCACUAGCAGCCUAAUAGGUUUUGGGUCUGCUUGCCUGUGAAUAAGGUAACACUAAAUGGAUUAUUUGUGUUUAUGCACAAGUGCAUUGCUAAAUUUAGCGAUUCCUAAGGGUUUUAGUCUAACGAAUGGUCCUUCCCUUCAACAAGAGAGUGAAUAUCCGUGGAUAUGUCUUGCAUGUGUUCCUUGGAAGAAUUUUUGUUGAUUUUGGUGCAGUUAAGCACAUAAGCUUGGUCUGUAUAUUUAAAUUCCAUGCUUGAGCAUCUUGGUGUGUUCUCUUUUUUCUUUCUGCUCUGCAGAGGAAGGCUGGCUGUUAAUGUAGGGCAUGUUUGGUUGGUAACUAAUUGCCUUAGCUUAGGUGCUCAAAUUCUUAGCCUCACUUUGGAUUGCCCAAGGGAAUUUUGCCACACUUUUUGUGUGUAUGACAUGUGGACUUAUAUUGAACAAAAAGAAUCUUGCCUUAGGUGUGGCUAGAACCAAACACACACCUAACCUGGUCAAACUUGCCUAACUUGAUAUGUGGGAAAGUGUGGCUGGGAACCAAGCAGCCCCUUAGUUAAUCCAACCUUCACUAUUUUGGUGAAGGAAAAUCCUUGUAUCAAAUGUAGAACUAAACUAGAAACUGAGGUAUAUGCCUAUUCUGAAAUAUCACAUGUGUGAUAUGCUCGUGGUUCUGUGAUAGUUAGCGUUUUUUUUGUACCUUUGUUAGAACGGCUUACGACAUGCCGUAAAUUGUCUCUCAAGAAUAUACUACUUUGGAGAACAUGAUGAUUUAUCCCUUGCUUAUUUGAAGUAAUAGGUUAUCUAUUUCGCAGCAUCUUAGUAACACACACCACAACCUUGUUGUCUUGUUGAAAUGCGUGGAAUGGAGUGAUGUACAUGUAUCAAGUCUGCAUAUUGUACUGGGUGUUUUUGGAAUUAAUUUAAAAUAGCAAUAUUUAGCAGCACUAUCACCAAAGAACUAGCCAUGGGCAUGGGUGCGUGGAAGUUAGCUAUCCAUGUGGCAGAACCAUGACUUGGUUUCGAGAUCUUAUCGGUUUUAACUCUAGCCUACCGCAACUUGUUUGGAACUGAGAGGCUUAAGUCAAAAUAAAGUGAAAUUGCGGGGCACAAUUAAAGUGAAAUUGCGGGGCGCAAAUAAAGUGAAAUUGCGGGGCACGACAGCAACAAAACAACCACCGCCUAUAUAUUGAGUUAUUGACCUCCAUUUCCGGUUCAUCCCACCUCCAACUUUCCUCCUCUUCCCCUCUUCUCCAGAUCUACUCCGCCGCCGCCUCCCAUGGCGCCUCCAGCCAGAAACCUUAACCCUAAUCCGAACACUAACAACCCCGAUCCUUCCUCCGACAUGGGUAUUCUCUUCGGUUCGCCUCCUACCGCUGCGCCUACCGCUGCACCCACGUUCCCUGCCGCCGUCGGCCCGCCGCCGCCGUUCGGCCCUUACUCCCACCCCUCGGCCACCUCUGCCUUUCACGGCGGCCCCUACCUCCACCACACGCAGGAUCUUCAUCCCCCUAUGCCCCGCCCACCCAUCUCCUUCCCCAUGCACCGCCCAGCGAUCUCCUUCCCCAUGCACCGCCCAGCCAUCUCCUUCCCCAUGCACCGCUCCUUCUCCAUUCCAGAUCUAAAUGCAAACCCUAGCGCCGCCUUGCCCGGCAGCUACCUUCACUACCCGCAGGAUCUCCGAUACCUCAGCUCCUACAGGCGAGACCUGAACCUGAGUGUUAACCUCAGAGCCGCCUUGGGCCGCCUGCAGGAUCGCCAAUCUCCCAUGGCCAGCUCAGGCAACUCCAUCCACACACUUAACCCAAACACAAACCUGAACCUGAGCGCCAACCCCAGCGCCGCCUCGCACGGCCGCUACCAUCAGAACGCGCAGGAUAUUCGACAUUCCAUGCCCCGCCCAGUAAUAUCCUUUGCCAUGCCAAACCGGAGCGACAACCCCCGCACUGUUGCAGGUGCCAAACCUGAACAGAAUAAAGGAGCACCGAACGGGAGGCAGAACAAUUCUAAUGAUGUUAUUCACCUUUCUGAUUCUGAUUCUGAUUCUGAUGAUUUUUUCGAAGAAGAGGCUCCCCCCACACACUCCAAGUCAAAUGGGAAAGCUUCAUCUGAUAGCCUAAAAACUGGUGGAAAGGCUUCAUCCUUUUCUAAUGGAGAAGGUAGCAAAGGAGGGAAGGCAUUUAGUGCUGGGAAAGGCGGGAAGGGCUCCGCAUCAAAUGCAAAGCCUGCAAUGUCUGAUGCAGAACUAAAGCUUCAGCUUGAUAUGCCUCCAAAUUCUAUAUUGUUAUCGAACUGUGAAGCAGCAGAAAUGUUGCAGAAAAUUCAAGGACAUAUGGCUAUCUUAUCAGAGGAUCCGACUAUAAAAAUUCCCGAGUCGUUUGACAAGGCCUUUCAAUAUGCAAAUGAAGGAAAUCACUUCACCUCUGCGAAGUCGGUGAAAGAAAUUCUGGAACCUCUUAAAGACUAUGGUGUUAAUGAUGGCGAGAUAUGCAUGAUAGCGAACAUUGGGCCUGAGACCAUCGAAGAGGUUUAUGCACUGAUACCGUCUCUCAAGGCUACUAGGUCCAUCAAUGAAGGCAAGAUCUUGGAGGCUCUUGCUGCCCUCGCUAACAUAAAAGUCUCCAAGUGAACCUCAGCUACACAGCUGAUCGGGCAAUGAAGGGUCCGUAACGGGGGGUCUCUGUGGUGUAUGGUUGUUCACCUCAGCUACACAGCUGAUCGGGCAAUGAAGGAUCCGUAAUGGGGGUCUCUGUGGUGUAUGGUUGUUCACCAAAAUCGAGCUCUUUCUUUCGAGGGCCGAAAUCAAGUUGUGUGUAUGUAAACCGUGCUGUGCACCUGUGUGCCAGUUCUAGGUCUGGCUGGUUGAACUUUGACUUCUGGAAACUAGCUUGUGUCUAGCUGCCGGUUUAGCUAGUUGUUGAGGUGAUGUACUCUGAAUUGCCAAGUUAUGCCCGAUGGUCUGGCACGCCUGAGCGAGGAAUAUUGUUGUUGCGGGCUGUGUGUUUCUGCAUUUCUGCUUGUCUGUUUA
This is an RNA transcript of Triticum dicoccoides, 3659 nucleotides long. RefSeq lists it as uncharacterized. The transcript is spliced from 11 exons. NCBI's taxonomy places the organism in Eukaryota, Viridiplantae, Streptophyta, Magnoliopsida, Poales, Poaceae. The record is from RefSeq and is a predicted model, not a curated record.